Non-coding RNA from Schistosoma rodhaini, 78 nucleotides. Lineage: Eukaryota; Metazoa; Platyhelminthes; Trematoda; Strigeidida; Schistosomatidae. The record is from Rfam.
AACCUUCUGAAUCAAUGCCGAGAUUUCAUCAGACACUAGACCAUCAGGACUGAUGAGAAUACAAAGAUAAGUGAAGAA